GCCUGGGUGGCUCAGUUGGUUGAGCGUCCGACUUCGGCUCAGGUCAUGAUCUCACGGUUUGUGGGUUCGAGCCCCAUGUUGGGCU
Molecule: transfer RNA, 85 nt
Filed under: Felis catus (domestic cat)
Lineage: Eukaryota; Metazoa; Chordata; Mammalia; Carnivora; Felidae
Rfam family: tRNA
About the family: Transfer RNA (tRNA) molecules are approximately 80 nucleotides in length. Their secondary structure includes four short double-helical elements and three loops (D, anti-codon, and T loops).
Source: Rfam by way of RNAcentral